GACGAGCUCUCCAAACGUUAUUCGGUAUCACUGGGCUUAAAGAGUUCGUAGGCGGCUUCGUAGGUGAGGUGUGAAAGCCCUCGGCUCAACCGAGGAAUUGCGCUUCAAACCGCGGAGCUGGAGGAAGACAGGGGUAAGCGGAACAGAUGGUGGAGCGGUGAAAUGCGUUGAUAUCAUCUGGAACACCGGUGGCGAAAGCGGCUUACUGGGUCUUUUCGGACGCUGAGGAACGAAAGCUAGGGUAGCGAACGGG
RNAcentral lists this ribosomal RNA (253 nucleotides) under uncultured bacterium. RNAcentral describes it as "partial 16S ribosomal RNA". It matches the Rfam family "Bacterial small subunit ribosomal RNA", at positions 524 to 776 of the family's 1533-position model. The record is from RNAcentral.